CCUACGGGUGGCAGCAGUGAGGAAUCUUGGUCAAUGGACGAGAGUCUGAACCAGCCAAGUAGCGUGAAGGAUGACUGCCCUAUGGGUUGUAAACCUCUUUUAUAUGGGAAUAAAAUGUUCCACGUGACGGAUUUUGUAUGUACCAUAUGAAUAAGGAACGGCAAACUCCGUGCCAGCAGCGGAGGUAAUACGGAGGAUCCGAGCGUUAUCCGGAUUUAUUGGGUUUAAAGGGAGCGUAGGUGGAUUGUUAAGUCAGUUGUGAAAGUUUGCGGCUCAACCGUAAAAUUGCAGUUGAAACUGGCAGUCUUGAGUACAGUAGAGGUGGGCGGAAUUCGUGGUGUAGCGGUGAAAUGCUUAGAUAUCACGAAGAACUCCGGUUGCGAAGGCAGUUCACUGGUCUGCAACUGACACUGAGGCUCGAAAGUGUGGGUAUCAAACAGGAUUAGAUACCCCAGUAGUC
This 460-nucleotide ribosomal RNA is filed under the name uncultured bacterium. Its description in RNAcentral is "partial 16S ribosomal RNA". It matches the Rfam family "Bacterial small subunit ribosomal RNA", at positions 338 to 795 of the family's 1533-position model. The record is from RNAcentral.